UACGAAGGGGGCAAGCGUUGUUCGGAAUUACUGGGCGUAAAGGGCGCGUAGGCGGCCGAUCAAGUCAGGCGUGAAAUCCCCGGGCUCAACCCGGGAACUGCGUCCGAUACUGGAAGGCUUGAAUCCGGGAGAGGGAUGUGGAAUUCCAGGUGUAGCGGUGAAAUGCGUAGAUAUCUGGAGGAACACCGGUGGCGAAGGCGACAUCCUGGACCGGUAUUGACGCUGAGGCGCGAAAGCCAGGGGAGCAAACGGG
This 253-nucleotide ribosomal RNA is filed under the name uncultured bacterium. Its description in RNAcentral is "partial 16S ribosomal RNA". It matches the Rfam family "Bacterial small subunit ribosomal RNA", at positions 524 to 776 of the family's 1533-position model. The record is from RNAcentral.